CAAUAGCGUAUAUUAAAGUUGUUGCAGUUAAAAAGCUCGUAGUUGGAUUUCGGGGUGGUCUGGCUGGUCCGCCGCAAGGUGAGUACUGGUCAGCCGCCCUUCCUCUCGAAAGCCCCGACUGCUCUUUACUGCAGUGGUCGGGUAGUUCGGGACGUUUACUUUGAAAAAAUUAGAGUGUUCAAGGCAGGCUAUCGCCUGAAUACAUUAGCAUGGAAUAAUGGAAGAGGACCUCGGUCCUAUUUUGUUGGUUUCUAGGGCCGAAGUAAUGAUUAAGAGGGACAGUUGGGGGCAUUCGUAUUUAAUUGUCAGAGGUGAAAUUCUUGGAUUUAUGAAAGACGAACUAGUGCGAAAGCAUUUGCCAAGGAUGUUUUCAUUAA
Molecule: ribosomal RNA, 377 nt
Filed under: uncultured eukaryote
Lineage: Eukaryota
Description: partial 18S ribosomal RNA
Rfam family: Eukaryotic small subunit ribosomal RNA
Source: RNAcentral